UAAUACGUAGGGCGCAAGCGUUGUCCGGAAUUAUUGGGCGUAAAGAGCUCGUAGGCGGUCUGUCGCGUCGGAUGUGAAAGCCCGGGGCUUAACCCCGGGUCUGCAUUCGAUACGGGCAGACUAGAGUGUGGUAGGGGAGAUCGGAAUUCCUGGUGUAGCGGUGAAAUGCGCAGAUAUCAGGAGGAACACCGGUGGCGAAGGCGGAUCUCUGGGCCAUUACUGACGCUGAGGAGCGAAAGCGUGGGGAGCGAACAGGAUUAGAUACCCUGGUAGUCCACGCCGUAAACGGUGGGAACUAGGUGUUGGCGACAUUCCACGUCGUCGGUGCCGCAGCUAACGCAUUAAGUUCCCCGCCUGGGGAGUACGGCCGCAAGGCUA
Molecule: ribosomal RNA, 378 nt
Filed under: uncultured bacterium
Lineage: Bacteria
Description: bacterial SSU rRNA
Rfam family: Bacterial small subunit ribosomal RNA
Source: RNAcentral